RNAcentral lists this ribosomal RNA (254 nucleotides) under uncultured bacterium. RNAcentral's name for it is "partial 16S ribosomal RNA". It matches the Rfam family "Bacterial small subunit ribosomal RNA", at positions 524 to 777 of the family's 1533-position model. The record is from RNAcentral.
UACGUAGGGUGCGAGCGUUGUCCGGAAUUACUGGGCGUAAAGAGCUCGUAGGCGGCUCGUCGCGUCGACCGUGAAAACCCGCAGCUCAACUGUGGGCUUGCAGCUGAUACGGGCAGGCUUGAGUUCGGUAGGGGAGACUGGAAUUCCUGGUGUAGCGGUGAAAUGCGCAGAUAUCUGGAGGAAUACCGGUGGCGAAGGCGGCAUCCUGGACCGGCAUUGACGCUGAGGAGCGAAAGCUAGGGGAGCAAACGGGG